RNAcentral lists this ribosomal RNA (253 nucleotides) under uncultured bacterium. RNAcentral's name for it is "partial 16S ribosomal RNA". It matches the Rfam family "Bacterial small subunit ribosomal RNA", at positions 524 to 776 of the family's 1533-position model. The record is from RNAcentral.
UACGGAGGGUGCAAGCGUUGCUCGGAAUUAUUGGGCGUAAAGGGGAGGUAGGUGGUCUCGUUUGUCUUAGGUGAAAGCCUUGGGCUUAACCCAAGAAGUGCCUGAGAAACGGCGAGACUAGAGUACUGGAGAGGGUCGUGGAAUUCCCGGUGUAGCGGUGAAAUGCGUAGAGAUCGGGAGGAACACCUGAGGCGAAAGCGGCGACCUGGACAGUUACUGACACUCAACUCCGAAAGCGUGGGGAGCAAACAGG